GGGUUGUGAGGUUAAGCGACUAAGCGUACACGGUGGAUGCCCUGGCAGUCAGAGGCGAUGAAGGACGUGCUAAUCUGCGAUAAGCGCCGGUAAGGUGAUAUGAACCGUUAUAACCGGCGAUUUCCGAAUGGGGAAACCCAGUGUGACUCGUCACACUAUCAUUAACUGAAUCCAUAGGUUAAUGAGGCGAACCGGGGGAACUGAAACAUCUAAGUACCCCGAGGAAAAGAAAUCAACCGAGAUUCCCCCAGUAGCGGCGAGCGAACGGGGAGGAGCCCAGAGCCUGAAUCAGCAUGUGUGUUAGUGGAAGCGUCUGGAAAGGCGCGCGAUACAGGGUGACAGCCCCGUACACAAAAGCGCAUGUGCUGUGAGCUCGAUGAGUAGGGCGGGACACGUGGUAUCCUGUCUGAAUAUGGGGGGACCAUCCUCCAAGGCUAAAUACUCCUGACUGACCGAUAGUGAACCAGUACCGUGAGGGAAAGGCGAAAAGAACCCCGGCGAGGGGAGUGAAAAAGAACCUGAAACCGUGUACGUACAAGCAGUGGGAGCCCCACCACUAAGCCAGUGGUGAACUCCACAUACGCAUCCUUUGCUGAGGAUAAGGUUAACGGAGCGAAAGCGACGUUCAACCGCAAAAGAAGCAGAGGGGGCUUAGUGGUGGGGUGACUGCGUACCUUUUGUAUAAUGGGUCAGCGACUUAUAUUCUGUAGCAAGGUUAACCGUAUAGGGGAGCCGCAGGGAAACC
This 745-nucleotide ribosomal RNA is filed under the name Salmonella enterica subsp. enterica. RNAcentral describes it as "partial 23S ribosomal RNA". It matches the Rfam family "Bacterial large subunit ribosomal RNA", at positions 1 to 678 of the family's 2925-position model. The record is from RNAcentral. Lineage: Bacteria; Pseudomonadati; Pseudomonadota; Gammaproteobacteria; Enterobacterales; Enterobacteriaceae.